ACACAUUCUAGAGCCUAAUUCAUUUCAAUUAACAAUUAAAAUUACACUCAAAUCCAAAUUUUGAACCUUAAUGCUAAAGUUCAUCCUCAAAUAAAUUUAUUGUAAUCCAUCACUACUUAAAUAAGCUGCACCUUGAUCUGAUUUUUAAUAUAAUUAUAUAUUAAAAUUAUAUAUUUCCAAAAAUAAUUAACAACGACGAUAUACAAGCAAAAUUAAAGUUUUAUUAAUCGUGGAUUAUCGAUUACAGGACAGAUUCCCCUGAUUGGAAUAAAAAACCGCCAAAUUUUUUGAUUUUAAAGAACAUAACUUAUAUUCAUCAGGUAUAACCUUCAACACCUAGAAUAAUGGGGUAUCUAAUCCCAGUUUAUCAUCCAGAUUUCUUAACCUCACAACCAAAAAUUCAAUUAAAUAAAAAAUAGGAUUUCACCCAAUAUUUCAACAAAAUAAAAAUUCAUUCUUAUUAAUUAAGUAUAUUAACCGAAAAAAAAUAGUAGCAUUAUUUGUCUAACCGCA
Molecule: ribosomal RNA, 513 nt
Filed under: Dematochroma difficilis
Lineage: Eukaryota; Metazoa; Arthropoda; Insecta; Coleoptera; Chrysomelidae
Description: partial 12S ribosomal RNA
Source: RNAcentral